AAACCCUCUGUACACAACAGCACUGCUUCCUUUCACUCUCCACCAUCCCUCCCCUUGAUCCAUGAGCAAAUCUGAUCUAGGCAGCCCUUUGAGAUGGCAUUGGUAACCCAAGUGGAGGUCCGAUGUUACGUCAAGUUUUACUCACCAUAGGGUUAAAUUCACCCCUGGG
Chelonoidis abingdonii (Abingdon island giant tortoise) is the source of this 169-nucleotide non-coding RNA. The record is from RefSeq and is a predicted model, not a curated record. NCBI's taxonomy places the organism in Eukaryota, Metazoa, Chordata, Testudines, Testudinidae.